AUAAUUAAAAAUGGUCGGAAAUGG
This 24-nucleotide non-coding RNA is filed under the name Arabidopsis thaliana (thale cress). Lineage: Eukaryota; Viridiplantae; Streptophyta; Magnoliopsida; Brassicales; Brassicaceae. The record is from RNAcentral.